This 497-nucleotide ribosomal RNA is filed under the name uncultured Glomus. RNAcentral's name for it is "SSU rRNA". It matches the Rfam family "Eukaryotic small subunit ribosomal RNA", at positions 569 to 1071 of the family's 1831-position model. Lineage: Eukaryota; Fungi; Glomeromycota; Glomeromycetes; Glomerales; Glomeraceae. The record is from RNAcentral.
AGCAGCCGCGGUAAUUCCAGCUCCAAUAGCGUAUAUUAAAGUUGUUGCAGUUAAAAAGCUCGUAGUUGAAUUUCGGGAUCAAUAUAUUGGUCAUGCUUAGGUAUGUACUGGUAUUAUUGAUUUCUCCCUUCUGAAGAACCAUAAUGUCAUUAAUUUGAUGUCAUGGGGAAUCAGGACUGUUACUUUGAAAAAAUUAGAGUGUUUAAAGCGGGCUUUCGCUUGAAUACAUUAGCAUGGAAUAAUGAAAUAGGACGUUUGAUUCUAUUUUGUUGGUUUCUAGGAUCGACGUAAUGAUUAAUAGGGAUAGUUGGGGGCAUUAGUAUUCAAUUGUCAGAGGUGAAAUUCUUGGAUUUAUUGAAGACUAACUACUGCGAAAGCAUUUGCCAAGGAUGUUUUCAUUAAUCAAGAACGAAAGUUAGGGGAUCGAAGACGAUCAGAUACCGUCGUAGUCUUAACCAUAAACUAUGCCGACUAGGGAUCGGAUGAUGUUAACUUUU